Molecule: ribosomal RNA, 343 nt
Filed under: bacterium C1(2015)
Lineage: Bacteria
Description: bacterial SSU rRNA
Rfam family: Bacterial small subunit ribosomal RNA
Source: RNAcentral
UUAAACUGGAGGAAGGUGGGGAGGACGUCAAUUCUUCAUGCCCCUUAGGAGUAGGGUUACACACGUGUUCCAAUGGUGCAUACAAAGGGAAGGGACCUCGGGAGACCAAGCAGUCCUCACAAAGUGUUUUGUAGUCGGGAUGGGAUUUUGCAAUUGGAUUCCGUGAAGUGGGAAUCGUUAGUAAUGGUGGAUCAGAAUGCCACGGUGAAUACGUUCCCGGGCCUUGUACACACCGCCCGUCACCCCAUGGGAGUGGGUCCAAAAGAAGUAGGUAGGUUACCCUUCGGGAGGGCGCUGUCCAAGGUGUGACUCAUGACUGGGGUGAAGACGUUGACGACGGCGC